This 2900-nucleotide ribosomal RNA is filed under the name Clostridioides difficile. Its description in RNAcentral is "bacterial LSU rRNA". It matches the Rfam family "Bacterial large subunit ribosomal RNA". The record is from RNAcentral. Lineage: Bacteria; Bacillati; Bacillota; Clostridia; Peptostreptococcales; Peptostreptococcaceae.
UGGUCAAGUUAUUAAGGGUGCAGGGCGGAUGCCUUGGCACUAGGAGCCGAUGAAGGACGUGAUAAGCUGCGAUAAGCUUCGGGGAGUUGCACGUAAACUUUGAUCCGAAGAUUUCCGAAUGAGGAAACUCACUUAGAGUAAUGUCUAAGUAUCAUUAAGUGAAUACAUAGCUUAAUGAGGGGAACUCAGGGAACUGAAACAUCUAAGUACCUGAAGGAAGAGAAAGAAAUUCGAUUCCGUAAGUAGCGGCGAGCGAACGCGGAUUAGCCCAAACCAAUAAAGUUUUCUUUAUUGGGGUUGCGGACAUAUCAUAACGAAGAGGUAUCGUAAUUGAAGAGGUUUGGAAAGACCCACCACAGAAGGUAAUAGUCCUGUAUGUUAAACGAGAAGACUUCAGAUAUGAUCCAGAGUACCACGGGACACGUGAAACCCUGUGGGAAGCAGGAGGGACCACCCUCCAAGGCUAAAUACUACCUAGUGACCGAUAGCGUAUAGUACCGUGAGGGAAAGGUGAAAAGAACCCCGGGAGGGGAGUGAAAUAGAACCUGAAACCCUGCACUUACAAGCUGUGGAAGCACAUUUCUUGUGUGACCGCGUACUUUUUGUAGAACGGGCCAACGAGUUACGUUAAGUAGCAAGGUUAAGCACUUAAGGUGUGGAGCCGUAGCGAAAGCGAGUUUUAACUGAGCGUUCAGUUACUUGACGUAGACCCGAAACCGGGCGACCUACCCAUGAGCAGGAUGAAGCGAAAGUAAAAUUUCGUGGAGGUCCGAACCCACGAGCGUUGAAAAGCUCGGGGAUGACUUGUGGGUAGCGGUGAAAUUCCAAUCGAGCCCGGAGAUAGCUGGUUCUCCCCGAAAUAGCUUUAGGGCUAGCCUCAAGGUGAGAGAUACGGAGGUAGAGCACUGAAUGUCCUAGGGGGUAUUGCACCUACCGAAGACUAUCAAACUCCGAAUGCCGUCAUCUUAUACUUGGGAGUCAGACUGUGGGUGAUAAGAUUCAUAGUCGAAAGGGCAACAGCCCAGAUCGUCAGCUAAGGUCCCUAAAUGUAAGUUAAGUGGUAAAGGAUGUGGGAUUGCACAGACAACCAGGAUGUUGGCUUAGAAGCAGCCACUCAUUCAAAGAGUGCGUAAUAGCUCACUGGUCGAGUGAUCCUGCGCCGAAGAUUUCCGGGGCUAAAACUUACUACCGAAGCUACGGCAUCAGUAAUGAUGGGUAGGGGAGCUUCCCAUACGGGUUGAAGCAUGACCGUAAGGACAUGUGGACAGUAUGGGAGUGAGAAUGUUGGCAUGAGUAGCGAGAUGUGGGUGAGAAUCCCACAGGCCGUAAACCCAAGGUUUCCAGGGGAAGGUUCGUCCGCCCUGGGUUAGUCGGGACCUAAGCUGAGGCCGAAAGGCGUAGGUGAUGGACAACAGGUUGAUAUUCCUGUACUACCGAUAACCAUUUGAGAGAAGGGAUGACACAGUAGGAUAAGCUAAGCACACUGUUGGUUAUGUGUGCCCAAGCAUUGAGGCAGUCAAAGUAGGCAAAUCCGCUUUGAUAAUGCUGGGAUGUGAUGGGGAGCGAAAUUUAGUAGCGAAGUAGCUGAUUUCACACUGUCAAGAAAAGUCUCUAUCGAGGUUAAAGGUACCCGUACCGCAAACCGACACAGGUGGGUGAGGAGAGUAUCCUAAGGCCAGCGAGAGAACUGUUGUUAAGGAACUCGGCAAAAUGACCCCGUAACUUAGGGAUAAGGGGUGCCACCAUCAGGUGGCCGCAGAGAAUAGGCCCAAGCGACUGUUUACCAAAAACAUAGGUUUCUGCUAAGUCGCAAGACGAUGUAUAGGAGCUGACGCCUGCCCGGUGCUGGAAGGUUAAGGGGAUCUGUUAGAGCAAUCGAAGCAGUGAACUUAAGCCCCAGUAAACGGCGGCCGUAACUAUAACGGUCCUAAGGUAGCGAAAUUCCUUGUCGGGUAAGUUCCGACCCGCACGAAAGGCGUAACGAUUUGGGCACUGUCUCAACAACAGACUCGGUGAAAUUGUAAUUCCGGUGAAGAUGCCGGAUACCUGCGACAGGACGGAAAGACCCCAUGGAGCUUUACUGUAGCUUGACAUUGGGUCUUGGUACUACAUGUACAGGAUAGGUGGGAGGCUUUGAAACCAGGACGCCAGUUUUGGCGGAGCCAUCCUUGGGAUACCACCCUUGUAGUACUGGGACUCUAACCAUAGGCCAUGAAUCUGGUCUUGGGACACUGUCAGGUGGGCAGUUUGACUGGGGCGGUCGCCUCCCAAAAGGUAACGGAGGCGCUCAAAGGUUCUCUCAGUACGGUCGGAAAUCGUACGUAGAGUGUAAAGGCAAAAGAGAGCUUGAUUGCAAGACAUACAGGUCGAGCAAGGAUGAAAAUCGGACUUAGUGAUCCGGUGGUUCUGCGUGGAAGGGCCAUCGCUCAACGGAUAAAAGCUACCCUGGGGAUAACAGGCUUAUCUCCCCCAAGAGUCCACAUCGACGGGGAGGUUUGGCACCUCGAUGUCGGCUCAUCACAUCCUGGGGCUGUAGUAGGUCCCAAGGGUUGGGCUGUUCGCCCAUUAAAGUGGUACGCGAGCUGGGUUCAGAACGUCGUGAGACAGUUCGGUCCCUAUCCGUCGCAGGCGUAGGAAAUUUGAGAAGACCUGUCCUUAGUACGAGAGGACCGGGAUGGACGUACCUCUGGUGUACCAGUUGUUCUGCCAAGGGCAUGGCUGGGUAGCUAUGUACGGAAUGGAUAAGCGCUGAAAGCAUCUAAGCGCGAAGCCAACUUCAAGAUAAGAUUUCCCACCGCAAGGGUAAGACCCCAGAAAGACUAUCUGGUUGAUAGGUCGAAGGUGUAAGUGCAGCAAUGUAUUUAGCUUAUCGAUACUAAUAGGUCGAGGACUUGACCAAU